Molecule: ribosomal RNA, 373 nt
Filed under: uncultured bacterium
Lineage: Bacteria
Description: bacterial SSU rRNA
Rfam family: Bacterial small subunit ribosomal RNA
Source: RNAcentral
ACGUAGGUGGCAAACGUUGUCCGGAAUUAUUGGGCGUAAAGCGCGCGCAGGCGGUCCUUUAAGUCUGAUGUGAAAGCCCACGGCUCAACCGUGGAGGGUCAUUGGAAACUGGGGGACUUGAGUACAGAAGAGGAAAGCGGAAUUCCAAGUGUAGCGGUGAAAUGCGUAGAGAUUUGGAGGAACACCAGUGGCGAAGGCGGCUUUCUGGUCUGUAACUGACGCUGAGGCGCGAAAGCGUGGGGAGCAAACAGGAUUAGAUACCCUGGUAGUCCACGCCGUAAACGAUGAGUGCUAAGUGUUAGGGGGUUUCCGCCCCUUAGUGCUGCAGCUAACGCAUUAAGCACUCCGCCUGGGGAGUACGGCCGCAAGGCUG